GGGCGAUUGGCUCAGUUGGUUAGAGCGUUGCGUUCACAUCGCAAAGGUCGUAGGUUCGAGUCCUACAUCGCCCA
Molecule: transfer RNA, 74 nt
Filed under: Candidatus Omnitrophota bacterium
Lineage: Bacteria; Pseudomonadati; Candidatus Omnitrophota
Description: Candidatus Omnitrophica bacterium (aquatic metagenome) tRNA-Val
Rfam family: tRNA
About the family: Transfer RNA (tRNA) molecules are approximately 80 nucleotides in length. Their secondary structure includes four short double-helical elements and three loops (D, anti-codon, and T loops).
Source: RNAcentral